This 546-nucleotide ribosomal RNA is filed under the name uncultured Pseudomonadota bacterium. RNAcentral's name for it is "bacterial SSU rRNA". It matches the Rfam family "Bacterial small subunit ribosomal RNA", at positions 90 to 632 of the family's 1533-position model. The record is from RNAcentral. Lineage: Bacteria; Pseudomonadati; Pseudomonadota.
GGCGAGUGGCGAACGGGUGAGUAAUAUAUCGGAACGUACCCAAGAGUGGGGGAUAACGUAGCGAAAGUUACGCUAAUACCGCAUACGAUCUAAGGAUGAAAGUGGGGGAUCGCAAGACCUCAUGCUCCUGGAGCGGCCGAUAUCUGAUUAGCUAGUUGGUGAGGUAAAGGCUCACCAAGGCGAUGAUCGUUAGCUGGUCCGAGAGGAUGACCAGCCACACUGGAACUGAGACACGGUCCAGACUCCUACGGGAGGCAGCAGUGGGGAAUAUUGGACAAUGGGGGCAACCCUGAUCCAGCAAUGCCGCGUGUGUGAAGAAGGCCUUCGGGUUGUAAAGCACUUUAGUUGGGGAGGAAGGUUAGUGGUUUAAGAGAUGACUGACUUGACUGUACCCAAAGAAUAAGCACCGGCUAACUCUGUGCCAGCAGCCGCGGUAAUACAGAGGGUGCGAGCGUUAAUCGGAAUUACUGGGCGUAAAGGGCGCGUAGGCGGUCAAUUAAGUUGGAUGUGAAAUCCCUGGGCUUAACCUAGGAACUGCAUACAAGA